This 254-nucleotide ribosomal RNA is filed under the name uncultured bacterium. RNAcentral describes it as "partial 16S ribosomal RNA". It matches the Rfam family "Bacterial small subunit ribosomal RNA", at positions 793 to 1050 of the family's 1533-position model. The record is from RNAcentral.
GUCCACGCAGUAAACGAUGAUUACUAGCUGUUUGCGAUAUACUGUAAGUGGCUAAGCGAAAGCGAUAAGUAAUCCACCUGGGGAGUACGUUCGCAAGAAUGAAACUCAAAGGAAUUGACGGGGGCCCGCACAAGCGGAGGAACAUGUGGUUUAAUUCGAUGAUACGCGAGGAACCUUACCCGGGCUUGAAAUGCAGAGGAAUAACUUGGAAACAGGUUAGUCAGCAAUGACCUCUGUGUAGGUGCUGCAUGGUU